UAAUACGGAGGGUGCAAGCGUUACUCGGAAUCACUGGGCGUAAAGGACGCGUAGGCGGGUUGUCAAGUCAGGUGUGAAAUCCUACAGCUUAACUGUAGAACUGCACUUGAAACUGGCAACCUAGAGUAUGGGAGGGGAAGAUGGAAUUAGUGGUGUAGGGGUAAAAUCCGUAGAUAUCACUAGGAAUACCUAAAGCGAAGGCGAUCUUCUGGAACAUAACUGACGCUAAGGCGUGAAAGCGUGGGGAGCAAACAGGAUUAGAUACCCUGGUAGUCCACGCCCUAAACGAUGAACACUAGUCGUCGUGAUGCUUGUCAUUGCGGUGAUGCACUUAACAGAUUAAGUGUUCCGCCUGGGGAGUACGGUCGCAAGAUUAAAACUCAAAUGAAUUGACGG
Molecule: ribosomal RNA, 396 nt
Filed under: bacterium enrichment culture
Lineage: Bacteria
Description: bacterial SSU rRNA
Rfam family: Bacterial small subunit ribosomal RNA
Source: RNAcentral